Molecule: ribosomal RNA, 488 nt
Filed under: uncultured bacterium
Lineage: Bacteria
Description: partial 16S ribosomal RNA
Rfam family: Bacterial small subunit ribosomal RNA
Source: RNAcentral
GACGAACGCUGGCGGCGUGCUUAACACAUGCAAGUCGAACGGUGAAGGGACCAGCUUGCUGGUUCUGGAUGAGUGGCGAACGGGUGAGUAACACGUGAGUAACCUGCCCCCUUCUUCUGGAUAACCGCAUGAAAGUGUGGCUAAUACGGGAUAUUCUGGGUCUGUCGCAUGGCGGGCCCGGGAAAGAUAUUGCUUCGGUGGGGGAUGGGCUCGCGGCCUAUCAGCUUGUUGGUGGGGUGAUGGCCUACCAAGGCGGUGACGGGUAGCCGGCCUGAGAGGGUGGACGGUCACACUGGGACUGAGACACGGCCCAGACUCCUACGGGAGGCAGCAGUGGGGAAUAUUGCACAAUGGGCGCAAGCCUGAUGCAGCGACGCCGCGUGAGGGAUGGAGGCCUUCGGGUUGUAAACCUCUUUCGCCAGUGAAGCAGGCCUGCUCCUUGUGGGUGGGUUGACGGUAGCUGGAUAAGAAGCGCCGGCUAACUACGU